RNAcentral lists this ribosomal RNA (471 nucleotides) under uncultured bacterium. RNAcentral describes it as "bacterial SSU rRNA". It matches the Rfam family "Bacterial small subunit ribosomal RNA", at positions 29 to 523 of the family's 1533-position model. The record is from RNAcentral.
AUUGAACGCUGGCGGCAUGCCUUACACAUGCAAGUCGAACGGUAGCGCGGGGUAACCUGGCGACGAGUGGCGAACGGGUGAGUAAUGCAUCGGAACGUGCCCUGGAAUGGGGGAUAACGUAGCGAAAGUUACGCUAAUACCGCAUAUUCUGUGAGCAGGAAAGCAGGGGAUCGCAAGACCUUGCGUUCUGGGAGCGGCCGAUGUCGGAUUAGCUAGUUGGUGGGGUAAAGGCCUACCAAGGCGACGAUCCGUAGCGGGUCUGAGAGGAUGAUCCGCCACACUGGGACUGAGACACGGCCCAGACUCCUACGGGAGGCAGCAGUGGGGAAUAUUGGACAAUGGGCGAAAGCCUGAUCCAGCAAUGCCGCGUGUGUGAAGAAGGCCUGCGGGUUGUAAAGCACUUUCAGUAGGAAGAUUAUGACGGUACUACAGAAGAAGCACCGGCUAACUCCGUGCCAGCAGCCGCGGUAA